RNAcentral lists this ribosomal RNA (431 nucleotides) under uncultured bacterium. RNAcentral's name for it is "partial 16S ribosomal RNA". It matches the Rfam family "Bacterial small subunit ribosomal RNA", at positions 29 to 507 of the family's 1533-position model. The record is from RNAcentral.
AACGAACGCUGGCGGCAGGCUUAACACAUGCAAGUCGAGCGCCUCGCCAGAUUCGCGGCUGACGGGUGUGUAUCGCGUGGGAACGUACCCUUAUCUUCUGAAUAGCUCUGGGACACUUUAUGUAAUACCGCAUGUGCCCUUAGGGGGUAAGAUUUAUCGGAUAAGGAUCGGCCGGCGUUUGUUUAGCUAGUUGGUGGGGUAAAGGCCUACCAAGGCGACGCUCCAUAGCUGGUCUGAGAGGAGGAUCAGCCACAUUGGGACUGAGAUACGGCCCAAACUCAUACGGGAGGAAGGAGUGGAGAAUAAUGGACAAUGGGCGCGAGACGGAUCCAGGCAUGCGGGGUGAGAGAUGAAGGCGUUAGGGUUGUAAAGCUGUUUCGCCGGAGAAGAGAAUGACGGUAGCCGGAGAAGAAGCGCCGGCUAACUUCGUG